CUCCUAUUACCGGUUUCCCAUUUACAGCCACACAAACCAUUGUUGUGACAUACUGCCGAAGAUCCUCUGUGUACUCUUGUGUAGCAUCUAAUGGAUCAAUCCAGACAGUAACACUUUCUGCUGGAACCUCUUUAGGCUGUAUUUUUUCUUUUAUGUCUUCAGGAAUACUGCGAUCCCAAGAGACUGUCUCCUGAUCAGCUGCAUCAACACGUUCCUCAGAGUUUAUCUGCACGGUGGGGAAGGCGGCCCUCAGCAGGUGGAACAUGCGGCGGUUGGACAGCAGGUCGCCGCUCGUCAGCUUCUCCUCGGCCCCUCCCGCGUCUUCCCCUUGGCCUUCUCGUUGAGCACGUUGCCCUCGCGGACCCGCCGCACCUCCUUGCCGCCCCGCACGGCCGCCAGCACGGACACGGCCAGCAGCUCCCGCAGGUCCACGGAGGCCGCCGAACCGCGGGGUCCCUCGGGCCCGCCCGCCGCCGGCUCGCUCAGCAUGAAGAAGGCGAAGCGGCCGGCCAGGAAGCCGGAGUAGAGGUGGUAGAGGACGCCCAGCCCCAGCAGGCAGAACACGGCCAUGCCGAGCGGCGAGAGGCGGAUCCCCAUAGGCGCCAUGGCCGGGCGCAGCGGGGCGGUGCCGGGCACUCACUGCAACCCCAUGGCUCGGCUCGCUCCGCCACGGCAGAGCCGGCCGGCUUCAGCUCCCAGCGGGCCGGGGCGGAGCGGAGCCCGUCUGUAUCCGGGUCAGGCGAAGGCGGGGCGCCGCCGUGCGCACUGAGCAUGUCCCGGUGGCCGGCCGGAGCUGGGGUUUUGCUGUGGGUUCGCAUGUGGGGGUCGGGAAGGACGGGUGGGAUGUGUGGCGCAGGUGUGCUCAUACCGACUUGUGUUUCUUUGAAGCGUUAAACUUUUGGAAUCAUAGAAUCAUCUUGGUUGGGAAAGACCAAAGAGUUCGUCCAGUCCAGCCAUCAGCCCAACACCACCACGUCCAGUAACCAUGUCCUUCAGUGCCACAUCUACACGUUUCUUGAGCACCUCCAGGGGCGGUGACUCCACCACUCCUCUGGGCAGCCUGUGCCACUGCCUCACCACCUGUUCUGUGAAGAAACAUUUCCUAAUGUCUGACCCGAAUCAACAGUCUGAAAGCUUCACCCCACUGUAAGAUUACCCUUGCAAAUUCAAGGUGCUGUAUCAUCUCCUCCUUGACUCUUCCAUUUCAACAGUACCUUCAAUUACAUGGUUGCAUACCAUGUGUUGCACCGUAUCUAAAGUGUCUCUGUGCAGGGGCUGCAAACCAAAGAAAGAGCAUUGCAUUUGAAAUGGGGUUCAAAAGAGCUAGAUUUUACUCUUAGCGAUGCUGAUAUUUAACUUUCUAGGCUACUAGGCAACAACUGGAGUGUCCACAUUUUCCUAUUUUCCUUUCCCUUCAAGACUUUUUUUUUCCUGUGCAGUUAGUUCUCUAGCAGAACAGCUUGAAAGGGUGUCCUGUUCAUUUGUCCUUCUUUGAAUUCACGAUUCAGCAUUUCAUACAGGAAUAUUGAAUGCCAAUAUCUACAGCAACAGUGAGUAUUAGAGAAGAGUAAACUUGUGUAUGCAUUGAACAUGAGACCAACACAGGUGGGCGUGUACAUAGGUUGCUUCAAAAGUAAUGCCUCCUAUUUCCAUGGAAAAUACAACAGUUACAAAGAGCACAAUGACAUUUUUGAUAGAGCAGAUUCUCAGCUACAUAACGCUAUUUUUCUACAUAGGCACCACCAUUAACUAUGCACUUUUACUGGCAAUGAACAAGAUCCUGCAGGCC
Molecule: long non-coding RNA, 1789 nt
Filed under: Gallus gallus (chicken)
Lineage: Eukaryota; Metazoa; Chordata; Aves; Galliformes; Phasianidae
Source: RNAcentral